Long non-coding RNA from Oxyura jamaicensis (ruddy duck), 956 nucleotides. RefSeq lists it as uncharacterized. Lineage: Eukaryota; Metazoa; Chordata; Aves; Anseriformes; Anatidae. The transcript has 2 exons. The record is from RefSeq and is a predicted model, not a curated record.
UCUUGCUGACACACUGUCCGCUUACAUCAGCUGCAAGACGCCCACUGGGGCAGGGUCCCAGUGGGAGAGAGAGGAUGCCGGCUCCGGGCUGUGUUGUGACCGUGAUUCUCAAGCACUGGACUCGGAGGUCCGACAACCACUCAGCCUACAUCACCGACGGAUCUGCUCUCGGAGGUGCAGGUGGAACAAUUUACAUGAGUACGACACCUGCACCUGAUGCCAGCUGCCGGCCACGGUGCUGAGCAAUGAUGCGUGACCAUGUCCCAUCAGCAACUCCACGUGCAUAAUUCAAGAAAAGCUUUGAAUCUGCAAAUCAAAUGAAUGCCUGUUUUCCCCUUACUACUGCCAGUAUAGACUAGUAUAUCCCUCCCCAUUUUUCUCUCUGUUGCUUCCUCAACAAACCUCCGCCAGCUGCAUUUUUGAGACUUAGUUUAGAUGAGAACGUAUGGUCUGGUUUUCAGCUGGCGUAAAUCCGGUUUUGCUGGCUUCACUGGAGCAAUGCUGAUUUACAUGGGCUGAUGACCUGUCUGUAUAUAUAUUAAGGUAUAUUUAUCCAGCAAAUCUGUCCACGAUGCUUCCAUUCCUUAUUCAUUCAAACUCAGCUGGCCCUUUGAGGCUGGAAUUGCGCUCAGCUCCCUUCUGUGUUGUGUCUCUCGUAAACGAGCCAGUUGGAAAGCACACCGUCCACCCUGCAGGAAGAUUACACUCCAAGGUUAUAUAUUACAGCACGAUGGGUGAGCUCCUGAAGGCUUCAGAGAGCAGGAUCAGUCCAGCCAACAAAACAAAAUAUCUCAGAAGCCUGGUUGUUAAAGCACAGCAAGAAUAUCAGCACUACUAGAGAAAUGCUGGACAGAGACACACAAAUAAAGAUUUUGCAUCUGUUUGAGCUCUACAUAUAGGGCAGGGAUGAGAUAGCUGUAUGCAGGGGUUUCUAAUUAAAGUUUUUCUUCUCCAGA